ACUGAGUUUACGCUCUACAACCCUUUGUGAACAUACCUACAACUGUUGCUUCGGCGGGUAGGGUCUCCGCGACCCUCCCGGCCUCCCGCCUCCGGGCGGGUCGGCGCCCGCCGGAGGAUAACCAAACUCUGAUUCAACGACGUUUCUUCUGAGUGGUACAAGCAAAUAAUCA
RNAcentral lists this unclassified non-coding RNA (172 nucleotides) under Colletotrichum gloeosporioides. Its description in RNAcentral is "ITS1". Lineage: Eukaryota; Fungi; Ascomycota; Sordariomycetes; Glomerellales; Glomerellaceae. The record is from RNAcentral.